CAGUGUGGUUUUACCUCACUUUUGGUGACCAGUUCCAGGUCCGGCCAACUACACCACACAAGAGAAGGCAUCGAGGACUGUCUCUCAACUGAACAUCUUCGACGACGGAAUAAAACGAUGAACUAAGUUAAGAAGUUGGGAAAGAAUUGGAUCCACUCUACACUGAUGGGUCGUCUAACACUGUCAAUGGCAGGGCUGGUGCAGCAUACACUGUACUGAGGAAUAAUGCCUUACAACGGGACAAUGAAGGAAAAGCCCGUAUUGAGAACUCCGCUCUUCAACGCAAGUAGAGCUAAAUGCCAUUAUGGCGUUAAGGUUCCUUGAACGAAACGCCAAUUUGCAGUAAUCUGCAGAGAUUCCCAAACGGCGCUACAAAGCCUUAGUCGGGCAGAAAGUCUUGCAAUAGCUGCUGAAAUCAGGAGUUGAGAGUACUAGCCAAUCGAGGAAGAGUCGUCAAAUUUCUGUAGAUUCCCUCCCAUGUUGAAAUCUGUGGAAAUGCACAACAGAUCUUCUGCUUGAAGACGCUGAAAGACCAUAUAGAUUUUUUUUUUAUACCAAAGACU
Long non-coding RNA from Procambarus clarkii (red swamp crayfish), 563 nucleotides. RefSeq lists it as uncharacterized. The record is from RefSeq and is a predicted model, not a curated record. Lineage: Eukaryota; Metazoa; Arthropoda; Malacostraca; Decapoda; Cambaridae.